Molecule: RNA transcript, 3455 nt
Organism: Camelus dromedarius (Arabian camel)
Lineage: Eukaryota; Metazoa; Chordata; Mammalia; Artiodactyla; Camelidae
Gene: CCR6
Gene name: C-C motif chemokine receptor 6
Exons: 5
Source: RefSeq, a predicted model, not a curated record
UCCAAGAAGAAUAAAAAACAUUCCACAGACUAAUAAUUCUGAAACAAGAAAAAAAUUGUAUGUAAAAUUGAAAUUAUUAAGUGACCUAGUUGCAUAAGCUUGCCUUCCUUCCUCCACCUGACUUUGUACCUUUCUAUGAUCUGAGGUCUGUGCUGGAAGGCUAGGGCUUGUGGUGAGGCGCUCAGCACCCCGCCCGGCGUGUGGGCGAAGGCCGAGGGCGCUGCGCACGAGCGCGGGCACCCCUGAGGGGCACACGCUGCCGAGGAACUCAGCACCCGAGACUAUUCAGCACAGAGGCCAGUGGGUUUACGCUGGUGCAGAGAAGUCUAAAGAUUUAAGAAGCCUGAAAUUUAAGGGGAAACCUCUGUGGCUGCUCCCUUGUUGAACACAGAGCUGCUGCUUCACUGAAAGUACAUCUUGUUAGGAGAACCACACGGGUGCUGUGCGUGCCUGGGGCGUCGUGAGGGGCGUGAACCGGACAGCUCACUCUGGAUCACAGCGUUUCUGAAGGCUCCAGGUGUACCUGCGGGGAGACAUCCAGGCGUACCUGCGGGGAGACAUCCAGGCAUGCAGCUGGGAGAGUCUCCACUUUUGAGGACCAUGAAAACGUCGGGCUUGCCUGGAUAAUGCGAGAUCACCUCCCCACCUCAGGGUCCCCACCCUGCACCCCACCUGCAGAGUUCCCUUUGCCGCGUAGUCACGCGCACACGUGUUCUGGGGAUCAGCAUGUGGACGUCUCUGGUGCCGUGAUUGUGUCCGGCCACAAGCAUGAGGUUCCCUGCCCACCAGCACUGCGCCUCUGUCAGUCAGUACGAGAGUGACAUGUGACUGACACGGGAGACAAGAUCACAUGAAAGCUUCUCGCCAUCUUCAGGACUGGUGGUCUUGCCUCCUCUAUUUUUGUCCCUAAAAUAGAUAAAAAAAAUAAUGGGCAGCACGUGACUGAGGCCGGAGACCAGCCUGAGGCCAGUGAGGGUCUCUGCUGGGCGCCUGGGCUGGUGCCCCGUGGGCGGUCACCCCGCACGAGCAAGCCAUCUCACUGCACCCCCACCCGGAGCCCCUUCCACACCUUGAUGUUUAUGAUCUCCAGAUGUGAUCACGGGUCUCAGUGUCCACAGUGCCUCUGGGAUGUGCAGCCCAGUGACCAGCACACCAAGGUCAAGAGUGUGGCCAGCCCACUCUGGCUGGUGCUCACCGCCUCCAGCCCCGGGCUCUCCGGUUACUCUGUCAGAACGCACGCCAGCAUCCUGCCUAGAAUCGACACGUGAGGGCCCACCUCAGCCUGGGGGCUUGUCUUCUAUCCCACGUGAACUUUGAGGGCCCUUCAGUCUGCUCUCUGGGGCACCCAGGCACUCACUGGGGCCGAGCGUCCUACUAAGCGACCUGUUUGGUGCAAGCCCACAUGGGCCCACGAUGCCCCAGGGACUUGAAGGGUUAAGACAUCCUGGAAAGGGCUAACACUCUAGCACAUGGUGACUGUGAGUCACCAAGACUGCAACCAUCAGCACGUCCCUCACGGGGCCAUGUACUAAGAAGAUGGCUCUUCAUGCAAAACCGAAUUGAAUGAAACAUUGCUUCUGCGUGUAUCCUAUGAUUUCCCCUUCGAGACCCUGAACUCUUCCUCCAAAGGACAACCUAGAACAGUUUGUCCUACAGAUUCUCUUAAUUCCAACUAGCUUUGUAGGUGUAUUUGUACCCUAAUCUGUUUGAGAAACAAUGGCAUAGAAACUCUUUUAAUUCCAAACCAAAGAAAAUUGCAUUUUAAGAAUCAGUUGCAAUCAGUGAGUUUCAUAUGUGACUGAAUGACUUCAAAAUACAAUCUGGCAUGAAUGGUGGUGGUAGGGAGUAUGUGUGAGAAAGAAAAGGAGCCUUAAAACCGAGCUGGAGCCGGACUCCAUCUCAAGUGGCUGCAUGGUGGUUGGUCUGUCGGUUCACCCAGAGAUGGACGAGAGCCUGGCUGCGCUCGCCUGUGUCUCCUGAGCCGUCAGACGAGAGCCCUGGGAAGGCAGCACGGAAGUGCCUAUUGAAAACGUCUUAAUGUUUCUUAGCAUCACAAUUUCCAUGACAGAAAGUCCACAGAUUGUUUCUCCAAAGGGCUGACUGUUGAGACUCAAGAUUUGAGGUAAUUUACUUGAGCAAAAAAUAAAAAAAAGACUCUCUGCAUGUGUGGUGGCACAGAUGCCAAUCUGUCACCGACGCCGUUUCCUUCGAACAGCUCACAUGAUUUGUGUGAUGAGGGUGGUGGUCUGGGGCAGGCUGUCCCAGUUACCGUGAGUGCCUGGGACACGUGUGAACCCGCCGGCAGUCUUUCUGAGAGCUCUGAUUCUCAACCACAGCAGCACUAAAUGUGUCCUCAUCCAGAUCUGCACGCUGUUUAUACCCAAUAAGUAUGUAACACUGUCCCGAAAGGACACAGAAUGGACAAAUGUGGCUUACUGUGACUUAUUCUGCCGUUCUAAGCAGCAAUAAGAGCAAAUCAAAGGGAAUUAAAACAAGGUCUCAUGAAUAGAAAUAAUGCAGACAGAACUUCUUCCAUCUCUGCUUGGAAUGCCCUCCCAGCGUGGCCUGAAUACCUGGUUCCCGGCAGGCGGCAGCCCUGCCCGCCUGCCCACAUUCACUCCAAAGCCUUUUCGGGCUGUCACCAAGCGUUAACCCCUUGUUCUUCUGCACAUCCCACUAGGGCUGCUGGUUUUGCACAGUUUUCUCAGCAUGGUUUCCCAGCUUCUUGAAGCUGGAGCUUAUGUUCGAUUCACCUUUGCAUCUUCAGCACCUCUCCACAAUAGACAUCGCUUAAACAUUUGUCAGACUGAAUUAAACGUGAAUUCAGAAAACACUGCAUAUCACAGGUGGUUUAAAAGCAUUUUCCCUCUGUAAGGGUCCAGCUGGGCCCCUGAUGCAGGGCAUCCCUCACUGCUUGGUGACUGUGACUGCCAGUCCCACCACGAUCCACCCCCUCUGCACGGUAUGCGUGCCUGGCCGCCCACCUCCCCAGCCGCAUCUCUCCCAGGGACCCGUCGGUGCCCCCAGGUCUGGCGUUUGUCUGGCCUCUCGGUACCUGCACAGCUCCGUUCUGCACCGCCCUCGUGUCUUCCGCUCCUGCUGCUGCCCCCAGCCCCUCCCUGAGCACCUAUACCCCGCUCCUCCCCUCAGUCUGUCCCUUUUCCUCCUUCUGGGGUCAUCUCAAGUCCUUCCUCCCCACAAACCCUUCAAAACCUGCUCAUUCCUCAGUGGAGACCUGUCAACUGCACCAACACAUUUUUGUGGGACUGUGUGUGGUGAUUUUUAUUAGCUUUUUGAGGCACAAUUUCCAACCAUACAUGCCACCAGUUUGAAGUACAUGAUUCAAGGGGUUUUGCCAACAGUCACCGUCCCAAUAAGGAGCACCUCCACCCCCACAGGAAGGUCCUCCAGCCCCGUUCCCGCCCCUGUCAUCCUCCCAUCCUCCACCCGCAGCA